CUGAAAAUGUUUAAAAUACUCGUUAUGGCAAUUUUUAUCGUGGACGACAAUUUACUGAUCAUAUCGCCACCACUGUCCGGUUUUUUCUUUUCUGUUAAGUUGCGCACUUGUAACUUCAUGUUAUUAUACAAUUACUUUAUGGUUUCCGGGCUUGGAUGGCCUGAUCCAAACACGCGGGAAUGUUGCGAGAGUUAAGAAAAGCGCACGAAAGCACGAGUCGAAGGCGAGUGAUUUUGCGCGCUUUUCUUAACUCGAGCAACAUUCCCAAGUGUUUGGAUCGGGCCAUUCAAACACGGAAACCAUAAAGUAAUUGUUUUAUAAAAUAACAACACCGCCGUAGUUUCGAACGAUCGGAACACGCGUUAUAUAUACAUGUUAUUUUAUAACUAAAGUUCCUUGAAUGUUCACAUGCCCGGGGGUAUUUACCUCGUUACACAAUUCAUGGAAAUAUGACCUGCAAUGUCCUCGUACCAUCGUUCUUCUUGCCCAAUAAAGUCGUUGUCGUUGAUCAUAUCAGCCAUCCAAGCAACACAGUCCAUGUCCCAGGUGUUGGUGACGCUCCGCGGGUUCGGAGUUCUUCUAUAAACCCUAUUCGCUUAACCCUAAAAUAUGAUUCCCACACUCUUCAAAUCCUAAGAAGCUAUACUAAAAAGA
Non-coding RNA from Paramuricea clavata, 654 nucleotides. The record is from the annotation of a GenBank genome assembly. NCBI's taxonomy places the organism in Eukaryota, Metazoa, Cnidaria, Anthozoa, Malacalcyonacea, Plexauridae.